AGAGUUUGAUCAUGGCUCAGGACGAACGCUGGCGGCGUGCCUAAUACAUGCAAGUCGAGCGGAAUGAUGAAGAAGCUUGCUUCUUCUGAUUUUAGCGGCGGACGGGUGAGUAACACGUGGGCAACCUACCUUGUAGAUUGGGAUAACUCCGGGAAACCGGGGCUAAUACCGAAUAAACCAUUUUGCUUCAUGGCAAGAUGUUGAAAGGCGGCUUCGGCUGUCACUACUAGAUGGGCCCGCGGCGUAUUAGCUAGUUGGUAGGGUAAUGGCCUACCAAGGCGACGAUACGUAGCCGACCUGAGAGGGUGAUCGGCCACACUGGGACUGAGACACGGCCCAGACUCCUACGGGAGGCAGCAGUAGGGAAUCUUCCACAAUGGACGAAAGUCUGAUGGAGCAACGCCGCGUGAGUGAAGAAGGUUUUCGGAUCGUAAAACUCUGUUGUAAGGGAAGAACACGUACGAGAGUAACUGCUCGUACCUUGACGGUACCUUAUUAGAAAGCCACGGCUAACUACGUGCCAGCAGCCGCGGUAAUACGUAGGUGGCAAGCGUUGUCCGGAAUUAUUGGGCGUAAAGCGCGCGCAGGCGGUUCUUUAAGUCUGAUGUGAAAACCCACGGCUCAACCGUGGAGGGUCAUUGGAAACUGGAGAACUUGAGUACAGAAGAGGAAAGCGGAAUUCCACGUGUAGCGGUGAAAUGC
Molecule: ribosomal RNA, 702 nt
Filed under: uncultured bacterium
Lineage: Bacteria
Description: bacterial SSU rRNA
Rfam family: Bacterial small subunit ribosomal RNA
Source: RNAcentral